This 353-nucleotide ribosomal RNA is filed under the name Clostridioides difficile. RNAcentral's name for it is "partial 23S ribosomal RNA". It matches the Rfam family "Bacterial large subunit ribosomal RNA", at positions 1766 to 2118 of the family's 2925-position model. Lineage: Bacteria; Bacillati; Bacillota; Clostridia; Peptostreptococcales; Peptostreptococcaceae. The record is from RNAcentral.
CCAUCAGGUGGCCGCAGAGAAUAGGCCCAAGCGACUGUUUACCAAAAACAUAGGUUUCUGCUAAGUCGCAAGACGAUGUAUAGGAGCUGACGCCUGCCCGGUGCUGGAAGGUUAAGGGGAUCUGUUAGAGCAAUCGAAGCAGUGAACUUAAGCCCCAGUAAACGGCGGCCGUAACUAUAACGGUCCUAAGGUAGCGAAAUUCCUUGUCGGGUAAGUUCCGACCCGCACGAAAGGCGUAACGAUUUGGGCACUGUCUCAACAACAGACUCGGUGAAAUUGUAAUUCCGGUGAAGAUGCCGGAUACCUGCGACAGGACGGAAAGACCCCAUGGAGCUUUACUGUAGCUUGACAUU